This 480-nucleotide ribosomal RNA is filed under the name uncultured bacterium. RNAcentral describes it as "partial 16S ribosomal RNA". It matches the Rfam family "Bacterial small subunit ribosomal RNA", at positions 28 to 507 of the family's 1533-position model. The record is from RNAcentral.
GACGAACGCUGGCGGCGUGCUUAACACAUGCAAGUCGAACGAUGAACCUCGAAAUGAUUUCUUCGGAAAGAUUUUUGAGAGGAUUAGUGGCGAACGGGUGAGUAACGCGUGAGCAACCUGCCUUAGACAAGGGGAUAGCCUCGGGAAACCGUGAUUAAUACCCUAUGAGACUCCACUUACGAGUGUAAGAGAAGUUAAAGCUAUUGCGGUCUAAGAUGGGCUCGCGUCUGAUUAGCUAGUUGGUGAGAUAAAAGCCCACCAAGGCGACGAUCAGUAACCGGCUUGAGAGAGUGAACGGUCACAUUGGAACUGAGACACGGUCCAAACUCCUACGGGAGGCAGCAGUGGGGAAUAUUGCACAAUGGGGGCAACCCUGAUGCAGCGACGCCGCGUGAGCGAUGAAGGAAUUCGUUUCGUAAAGCUCUGUCCUUGGAGAAGAUAAUGACGGUAACCAAGGAGGAAGCACCGGCUAAAUACGUG